GCGUUUGUAGAUGGAAGGAAGAACUUGUGUGCUUAGACCUGACGCUGGGAGGAGAUGCUGCCACCUAGGUUACUUGUAGGACCCUAUACGGCAACCUCCUUUGCCAGGAACUAUUUAUAAACAUCCUGCAGGAAAAUGAGUCAAGGAAGCUUUUCUUUUGAGCUAUUUACAGCUUUUAGCAAUUGAGUAAAGUAUACUCCUGUGAACAAAAUUUGGAACAUAUUUGUUUCUCUCUAACUGAUUUCUCCAGAAUUUGGAACUAGUUAACCAGGAACCCUCUCUUGGGGUGUGGAUCGAGACCCCUUUCUGGUAACGAGAGCACAGCUUGGUUUUAUACAUUUUAAGGAGACAUGAGACAUCAAUCAACGUAUAUAAGAUGAACAUUUUGAUCUGAAAAGGCCUCUUUAAAUAUACACUUCUCUGUAGUGUAUGCUAGAAAUGGAGUGGCUGGAAUAAAAGUGGCUGAAUCAUCUUCAACUCUAGUAGCUGAGACCAAUGAUGCUGACCUCCCUCAAAAGCUGCAUUUCUGAAUUUCUGAAGGCAAACUGUCUGCCUAUAUUGUACAGCAAAAUAAUUUCCUGUAUUAAAACGUUUUUAUUGCUCUAAAUUUCUAGAUUAAACUCUGCUUAGGUAUUGCUAAGAGGGUAGCCAAGUAUAGAAACUUAAAUUUACUGACAGAAAUCUAGAGAAUGCUUAAUUUUUUUUCCAGCAGUGAAGUAGAAGAGACAGGGAUAUCCCAGAAGGU
RNAcentral lists this long non-coding RNA (745 nucleotides) under Homo sapiens (human). Its description in RNAcentral is "MRPS30 divergent transcript". The record is from RNAcentral. Lineage: Eukaryota; Metazoa; Chordata; Mammalia; Primates; Hominidae.